Molecule: long non-coding RNA, 993 nt
Filed under: Anas platyrhynchos platyrhynchos (common mallard)
Lineage: Eukaryota; Metazoa; Chordata; Aves; Anseriformes; Anatidae
Description: lncRNA (ENSAPLG00000022130.1)
Source: RNAcentral
UGAAGAGGAAAGCAAAAAAUGAAAGUUCAUUGUCCUGUCCUAUACAUUAACUCCCAUAUAUUUUCAUGGUCAUGAAUGACAGUGAGAACAUAUGGUAAUUCUUUAUUCCCUCUAAAAUACCGGGGUCGUGUCCCACUAAAUGUUUGGGUGACAGUUCUCCCUGUCAAACAGUCAAUCAUAUUGUUGAAGAAAGCAAAUUAUCAAUCAAACAGAGGCUCUUCUUGGUGACAAACUCCUUAAAUAUGAAAUGCUCAAACCCCAGUAAAUACUGUUGUUGAAUUAAAGGAGCUGUGGGGCAGCAUAAUCAACACAAAGUUGACAAGUUGACUAGUUCCUAAAUUUUGCAAAAGAAAGCGGGAUAGAUUGCAGCAAAGCAUGUGAAGUGCCAGUUUGCACCUCUGUCAAAGAAGCUGAAUGACUGAAAUGUCACAUAUCUCAGGCAGAGAAAGAUGAGAAGAGAUAGCUAUGAAUCUAUGCUAUCAAAGAAAAAACAUAGCAAACAUUAUAAUGGGGACCUUUUCUAGAUGGAAAUAUGAAAUCAGGUUUGUUUGUUUCUGUUUUUUUUUUUUUUUUUUUUUAGAGAGAGAUCUGCUUCUGGAUUUUUGUUGGCCAGGACAAUUUGUCUGAAGUGCCUCUGCCCAUUUCUGCUGUGCUGGGCCAGAAGAACAUCCUGAGCCACAGACAAUGAAUCUGCUCCAGGAGACACUGAACUGCAGGCACAGCCUGAGGAGACCUAACCACAGCCAUGUCCCUGACUGCAGGUGCAGGCACUGGGCUCCUGACUGCAGGAUGUGUGCACUGGAGGAGGGAAGCCACGGCACCAUAACCAGAUUGACAAAUGGGACAGUGUUUAUUGAACCAAGAACUUCCUGGAGAGAUAAGCCUGAAGAUUUGGGAGCAAAGGAAUUUCAUGCUGUUGUUCAUUUCCAUGAGUUCUUGGCUACAAGUUACUUCUCAACAGCAAAGAAUUUGCUGAAAAAGACUACCCACUGA